AGACGAAGGGAGCGAGCGUUGUUCGGUAUCACUGGGCUUAAAGGGCGCGUAGGCGGCCAGAUGGGUCGGUUGUGAAAUCCCUGGGCUCAACCCAGGAAUGGCUUCCGAAACUAUUUGGCUUGAGGCAUUCUGGGGGCGACUGGAACUCUUGGUGGAGCGGUGAUAUGCGUAGAUAUCAAGAGGAACGCCAGUGGUGAAGACGGGUCGCUGGGAAUGUCCUGACGCUGAGGCGCGAAAGCUAGGGGAGCGAACGGGAUUAGAAACCCGAGUAGUCC
RNAcentral lists this ribosomal RNA (275 nucleotides) under uncultured bacterium. Its description in RNAcentral is "partial 16S ribosomal RNA". It matches the Rfam family "Bacterial small subunit ribosomal RNA", at positions 523 to 796 of the family's 1533-position model. The record is from RNAcentral.